Molecule: long non-coding RNA, 1948 nt
Organism: Chinchilla lanigera (long-tailed chinchilla)
Lineage: Eukaryota; Metazoa; Chordata; Mammalia; Rodentia; Chinchillidae
Source: Ensembl
GGCUCUGAGUUGGGCCACCCCACUCUGGCCCUUCUCUCAAGGACGAAGCGCUUCCCCGCUUCAGAUGGCUGUUCCCCGGUAACCUCAUACACCCAGCCCGCGCGAGCUUGGGCUUCCCGAGGCCCGGCCGGCGGGCGAGCGGCCGCGCACCUGGCUGCGGUGGAGCAGCCCCGCCCCGGAAGUGGGCUUCGGUCUCCUUCUGCCCGGCGGGUCCGCUACCGCGGGCCACGUAGCGUCCCGGCCUCCGCCGACCUCGUUCCGGGCGCCACAACGCGGAAAGGUUGGCCUCUAUUCUUGCUGUUCUCUGCAUGUACACUUCCUUCUUGCCCUGAGCCCGCCCAAAUCCUACCCACUUCUUCAUUCUUCAAGGCCCCUCACAUCACACCUCAGGUAGGAGCAUUUCUUAGCUGCUUGAGUGUCUUACCUGGACUCCUAAUGGGCAGUAUUCAUAAGUUAACCUUGAAUUAUUCAACAUUUUCAUUGGUCUUGCCUUUCCAGCUGAACGCUAUGCAUCUUGUGGUAAGGACCACAUUUUCUCCUUCCUUGUAUCUGCUUAUAUUAUAGUUUGGAACCGUUUAGACAGAAGUACCUACCAACCAAUAGACUCAUGAAGCACAACACUUGGGUGUACAGUAUUUGCAAGGUAUGAACAAGGGUUAUGUUACCGUCAAAAACUUAGGUGACCCAAAGCAGAGCAGAUAUAGCAAUUAUACCAUAAAAUUUAUCAUUCUGCCAAAUAUUAGAGGGUCUUCAGGAAAGACAGGUUGAUUUUGCAAGGGGGACGGCGCUACAAUUACACUAUGUAAUGGUUUCACACAAAUUAACUUGGCAGCCAAUUUUUUAGAAGACCUAGGGGAAGCUGAUUAGGUGCUACGACAAAUUUCUAAGACUGCAAAGCUGAUACUGAGUUUCUACUACAUCUCUAUUCCGAGAAAUCAAGAGGGCAGAACGUGCAGACCACCAGACCCAGAAGCCUUCUUUUAUAUUGAGUUGCAGAGUUCAAGGAGUACCUCCCGAACUGCAUACAGCAUUUAAAAGUUCCACAGAAUCAUCUAAAAAUACUUUUACAAGUCCUUGCCUUCAAAGCCAAAAAGAUCAGGUUUCUGAUAUGUGAGCUGCAAGAAUGCACACAUGUAUGUGUGUAUAUAUAUAUAUAGACACAUGCACAUACACACACACACUUUUAAGGCCCGUACACAUGUGCCCCGGUGGGUAUUUGUUCAAAUACUACAGUCCCAAGCACUGAUUUUAUUUAGUCUGGUUGUUCCUAACACAAACACAUAACUUUAAUUAAAGGCACAUCCAAGUGUAGGGGAAACCAUCUUGAAACAAUUAGACUCUUCUACGUAAGAGGUUUCGGGGCUCUGACAUCCUCCCACCUCCUCACAUCCCUCAUGGAAAGAGACCAGAUGGGGUAAAAGCAAGCCAAGUUCCCUCCAUAAACACAGCCUGGAGCUAUAACUCUGCCCUACUCUAUUCUGUUCUCUUCUGACCAGGACACCACCCUCCUUUUACUUUUUCCUAAACAAAUUCCAGCCAUUUGAUUCCUAUUUUUUUAAAAAUCACUCUUUCAUCACUGUUAGGGGAAAAAACACUUGUGACAUGGUUUCUUAUCUUUUCUCUGAAAGAAAAUAUUCCAGGAAGGAAAUGAAAAGCCUAAGGAAUUACCAAACUAUGCAUGUGGUUGUUGAGCGUGGGCUAUGGAGGCUUCUGGAGAACAUCUGAGAGAUGGCUGUCUUUUUGCCUCUUUCUUGGGACUUUCUGGGUAUUCUGGUUCUAUAGGUAGUAGACUGAAAGUUUCUCUAAACUGCUAGGAAAGCUGGGGUACAGGUUGUGACAUUCAUCACAGUAGUUCUUUUCCCCCUGAAUCCCCAGUUACUUUACCCCUAGGUAAUCUACCCAUCAGCAGAAGGGAGUGAUUUCUCCAUAAGGGCCACACUGAAAAGUC